UACGUAGGCAGCGAGCGUUGUUCGGAGUUACUGGGCGUAAAGCGUGCGUAGGCGGUGGUCCAAGUCUGGUGUGAAAUCUCCCGGCUUAACUGGGAGGGUGCGCCGGAAACUGGGCCGCUGGAGUACGGGAGAGGCAAGCGGAAUUCCAGGUGUAGCGGUGAAAUGCGUAGAUAUCAGGAGGAACACCGGUGGUGUAGACGGCUUCCUGGACCGUAACUGACGCUGAGACACGAAAGCGUGGGUAGCAAACAGG
Molecule: ribosomal RNA, 253 nt
Filed under: uncultured bacterium
Lineage: Bacteria
Description: partial 16S ribosomal RNA
Rfam family: Bacterial small subunit ribosomal RNA
Source: RNAcentral